CAAGUCGAACGAGAAUGUGUAGCAAUACACAUGUACAGUGGCGAACGGGUGAGGACUACAUGGGUAACCUACCCUCGAGUGGGGAAUAACUAGCCGAAAGGUUAGCUAAUACCGCGUACGCUUCCCGGACUGCGGUUCGGGAAGGAAAGCGAUACCGUGGGUAUCGCGCUCUUGGAUGGGCUCAUGCCCUAUCAGCUUGUUGGUGAGGUAACGGCUCACCAAGGCUUCGACGGGUAGCUGAUCUGAGAGGAUGAUCAGCCACACUGGCACUGCGACACGGGCCAGACUCCUACGGGAGGCAGCAGUAAGGAAUAUUGCGCAAUGGGCGAAAGCCUGACGCAGCGACGCCGCGUGGGGGAUGAAGGUCUUCGGAUUGUAAACCCCUUUCGGGAGGGAAGAUGGGAUGGGGUAACCCAUUCGGACGGUACCUCCAGAAGCAGCCACGGCUAACUUCGUGCCAGCAGCCGCGGUAAUACGAAGGUGGCAAGCGUUGUUCGGAUUUACUGGGCGUACAGGGAGCGUAGGCGGUUGGGUAAGCCCUCCGUGAAAUCUCCAGGCUUAACCUGGAAAGUGCAGAGGGGACUGCUCAGCUAGAGGAUGGGAGAGGAGCGCGGAAUUCCCGGUGUAGCGGUGAAAUGCGUAGAGAUCGGGAGGAAGGCCGGUGGCGAAGGCGGCGCUCUGGAACAUUUCUGACGCUGAGGCUCGAAAGCGUGGGGAGCAAACAGGAUUAGAUACCCUGGUAGUCCACGCCUUAAACGAUGGAUACUAAGUGUCGGCGGGUUACCGCCGGUGCCGCAGCUAACGCAGUAAGUAUCCCGCCUGGGAAGUACGGCCGCAAGGUUGAAACUCAAGGAAUUGACGGGGGCCCGCACA
Molecule: ribosomal RNA, 873 nt
Filed under: uncultured Nitrospira sp.
Lineage: Bacteria; Pseudomonadati; Nitrospirota; Nitrospiria; Nitrospirales; Nitrospiraceae
Description: bacterial SSU rRNA
Rfam family: Bacterial small subunit ribosomal RNA
Source: RNAcentral